Molecule: long non-coding RNA, 6041 nt
Organism: Spinacia oleracea (spinach)
Lineage: Eukaryota; Viridiplantae; Streptophyta; Magnoliopsida; Caryophyllales; Amaranthaceae
Exons: 2
Source: RefSeq, a predicted model, not a curated record
UGCUAUAUGAUUAUGUGUAAAUAAUAUGUUUCCUGGGUUAAUGGUUGUUUCCGCAUGAUCUAUGUAAAUGUCAUAUGUAUCAUAACCUAACAAAUCCUUGGUAAGGAUUGCCUACGUAUCUUGUCAGAAUCAGGUCGCGCGUAGUUCUAGCUUUAGAAUAAGUUCUAGUAUGCCGGAUUUCGGUAGAUAUGCCCUGAGGUGGAAACAUAUUACUUAAUCGGUCAAAUGAGUGAAGUAUUAUCAUUAUUUUCAUCUGCCGUUUUUUUUUGCCAUAAGUCGCGUAAAAUAUGAAACUCAAAAUCCGACUAAUUUGUAUGGCUAUAUUCUUGGUUGGUAAGCCUAUUUGGAUACUUGGAUACGUACUGUACCCCCCAAGUGUUCGUUAUUUUUCCGUUGUGUGCGGAUAAAAUGCCGAGCACUUUCUGAAAAGAAAAUUUUUGUCAGGCAGAGAGUUUCAACGCCCAGGCUGGGGCGUCAGCAAUUUCGGCGCCCAGCCCUGGGCGCUUAAAAUGACUUGGGCGGUCGAUUUUUGACGCUUUGCUUCACAUGUUCUUGCAUUUUUUUUUUGUGCCUUGAUAUUUUGCUCGUAUUUAAAGGCCAAUUUUGAGGCUACUUUGGAGGCUUUUUUGACUGUUAGCGUGAAAUGCGUUUUUGUCCGAAUCAAUUUUUUCUAUUCGUGACUCGAAACAGUUUUGAAAAUGGGGUUAGGGUGCGGAAGUUAUGAAGAUCUUUGUGUAGGUUUUUGAGGUGUUGUUAGUGAAGGGUAUGAUGGAAUCUAUGUUUUAUGAAUCUGUUUUUUUGGUAACAUUUGCAUUGUUUUGGAUUUUGAUUUCCUUUGAUUCUGGGUUUGCAUGGAUUGACUCUUAUGAUGACACUGGUUUGGCUUUUUAGGUUUUGGGGAUAUGAAUUGGAUAGUGUGGUUUAUUUUGUGGGUUUCGGGAAUUGGUUCCCAUGGCACUAUUUCAAAACCGAGUGGGCUUUGUUUGUUGGGCCUGGAGUGGGCCGCCUCUUUAUUUUUGUAUUUUGCAAGUACAUUUGGUGUUUAUUUAGUGUUAGAAUAAAAAUUUUAGGAGAAAUAUUACGCCUUUAUUGAUUCGGAAAGUAAGGAAAACACACUGAAAUAAAACUGACCCAUAUUCUAAGGGGCCUUAGGACCAUCUAAAGUCUCUAUUAUAUUUUUUUUAUCAAUCUAAAGAACUACUAGGCGCUUUUUACUAAUGGUGCUCUAUGUGGCUCAAGCCUGGGGUUUAGUCUCAUAAAACUUCGGUUCUUCACCGGUACUCAUCUUGAAUUCCAUUCCUUUUGCAUUGACCCACUGAUAUGUCUUCACCCAUCCGUUCUCGACCUCUUCUAGUGUUGAUGCAAGAGAGAUUAACCGGGUUGGAUCGAAACCUUCAUCUUGUAAAGUUAGGGUAGUCAUCACAGUCUCGUUCUCCAUAGGCCUCGAUUCGUUAAACAAUGUCCAUAGAGCCCGGUUGUCCAAUAUUUCAGCUGUUUUAGUCUUGGUGAGGUGGGGUGCCUCAUCCAAGGUGGGGCAAUCAUGGAAAAUUUCAAAUCCGGGUUUUAGCAAGCCAUCCUGAACGAAGGGUUCAGGGAAAUCACAACAUGGGUGUUCUUCUCCUUCCCGAACGAACAUCCCGUUAAGGGUCCUUUGAUAUGGGGGAAGGAGGGUGGUUUGUUUGGCUUUGUUAAGGCAUAGCCUAGACAGGUGGUCAGCAAUAUCUUCCUCCGUUGGUUCAUAACCUAAGCCAAAGGGAGUAGAUUUAUCGGGAAAAGGAUGGAAUGUGUAUUCCUUCUUCCUUAUGCCCAAUGGGGUUCCUGGGAAAUAACCUUGAGCUAACAGCAUUCUAGGGAUGACUCGGUAUGCAUGCGGGUCUAGGAAUGCUGGGUCAUAAUCUUCGAUGAACUGGAUUGUUUCUUCCAUUUGAAACCCAUAAAGGUCGUCUGCAGUUUCGGCCGCUCCAACCAUAGUGCAACUGACGUCGAGAGGAGGGGCGCGGAUUUCUAGUAUUACCCCGUUAUGGUUAAGUUUAACCAUUUGGUGCAAGGUAGAAGCCACACCUCCUAAGUCAUGGAGCCAAGGUCGCCCCAAGAGGAGGUUGAAAGUGGGCUUGAUGUCGAUUAUUUGAAACUCCGUGGUGCGUGCCACAGGCCCGGUUUGUAUGGUAAGGUUGAUUUUUCCCAAUACAGGCCUUCGGGAGUUAUCAUAAGCUCGUACCCCUUGCGUAGAGGUUUGGAAGUCAUCGUUUCCUAGCCCCAAGAAAUGGGCGGUUCGCAAUGGGCAGACAUUAACCGCCGAACCAUUAUCUACGAGCGCUAGGGGGAUGUUUUGUCCUUUGCAUCCAACCACUAGGUAAAGGGCUUUAUUGUGAGCACCCCCCUCUUUGGGUAAGUCUUUAUCAGUGAAAACUAUGGCCUUUUCUCCGGCAUCUCUCGUGACAUGGCUAACCAAUGAGUCAGGUGUGAUAUCUGUAGGUACUGAGAUGAGGUCAAGUGAGCGAAUAAGCUUUUCGCGAUGUUCCUUUGAAGUACACAUAAGAUCCCAGAUGGUAAUCUCGGCCUUGGUUAUUUUUAGUUGUUUCAGGAGAGGAUUUUCAAUGACUUCUGCGAUGGUGGCGUGCCGUCCAUUCUCAGGAGUUUGCCUAACCGGGUUGUCGUCCAUAGGAGGUGGGUGAAUAUCCGGUUGGUAUAUUCUUCCGGAUCGGGUGAGGUUGUCGACCUUGGGCUCCUGAGGGGUGGUGUCAAUGAGAGCAUACCCGGGCCAAGUUUCAGUGAAAAGGUCCUGGCCCGACACUUGAGAUAGGUAAAUAUCUUCAGCAUCAUCAUUCCACACACCGCACACUUCCCUCUCGAUUCGAUCCAUAGGGACCACAGCGAGUGGUGCACCUUGAGGUGUAAUAUACACCGUGGGGUCGAAAUUCUCUGGUUGGUCGAGAGAGAUGUGACAAGAGCCGAGUGGGCUCUUGUUGUUGUUGGGUUUGCCAACGUUAGGGAGAGGUAUCACUUCAUCCUCUAUCAUGUCCUGGAUCGUAUGUUUUAGAUUCCAGCAGUUUUCAGUGUCAUGCCCAUUUCCUUGAUGGAAUUUGCAGUAAGUACCUUCGACCGAAUAUUUGCUUUUGACAGGAGGGUCACGGGUGGGGCCUAUAGGUUGUCAAUGAAUUUUUGGACCAAUUUUGUUUCGGGAGGCCUAUUGAUUAGCUGGGCCGCCUGGUCCCUCCAUCUAGCAAAGUAGGUCGUGAAACCCUCAUUUUUCUUUUGGAAGAGAACUUCCAGCUCGCGCAUGGUGACUUGGAAAUCCGUGUUCGACGAGUAUUGCUUAAUGAAGACGUUGACAAAGUCUUCCCAAGUGGGAAAGAGCUUAGGGUCCUGGUGAUUGUACCAUUUGAGCGGCACAGGUUCCAAGGACAAAGGAAAGGCAGGUAAGUACAUGGACUUGUCCACGCCUUUCAAGUUCAUGGCAUUCACAAAGCUCAGUAGAUGAUCACGGGGGUUGUCCGUGGCCUUGAACUUUGGUAAGUCAGAUGAACUGAACUUUUCUGGUAGUUUGCCAGAAAAAGGUUCAGGAUCGAGGGAGAAGUAUUUGCUCCCCAUGGUUUGCUGUAGGACCAUUUUUUCAAUCCUCUUCUCGUUAUCGAGGUCAUUUUUGGCUUGCGCAGCCGCUAAAGCUUCAUUUUACAUUUUUAGUUGGCCCAUGAGUCGGGUCAUUUGAGCCAUCUGCUCUUGCAAAUCUUCGAUGGACAUGUUUGAAGGUGCGAAUCGAGGUUGGGGAAGCGGAGAUCCUUGAAAUGAGGGAUGACGGACGGAGCUUGGAGUCACUAAACCUGGUGUUGGCGAUGUAUCUUCGAGACGCACGAACCGUUGAUUCCCUGAUCGGAACCAAGUGGCAGGACCAGUCCUAGGCAUAAGAUAAGCUAAGGUUUAGGUUCCCAAAGUUUCAAGCAUUACUUAGUCUAGACUUUGACUCUCUAAAUUGGUUUUUCACUCUUUCUUUUGUCGGUACACUUUUUAGUUUUUUUUUUAUUUUGGUCAUUCUUUGGAUUUUCGAAACACUUGCCCGUGUGACAUUCAUAGUUAUUAGCACGUUCGGUUUUGGUGCCGAGUAUUGUCGUCGUAGGAGGCCUAACAACUACACAAAGAGUUAUUAAUUUUUUCACGAGUCGCUUUUGAAAUCGAGUGCUUUUCUUACGCCCUCGUAGCAAUUCUUUUUGCGAACAUUUUUUGUGCUACGUAUUUUCCUUUCGCGCGGGUACCGAGGCUGCUGCGCUUGACCAGAAGGCCAAGCAGCAACUUCAGCGCCCAGCGAGGGGCGUGAGAAAUUCUGGCGCCCAGCCAGGGGCAUUGAAAAUGCGUCCCUGGCUGGUUCUCGUUUUCUGUCUUCUGUUUAUGCGACUUCGAUUUGCGUGCUUGCUUAAUAACGUCCUUUACGCGUAACAGCGUUUGUGGGAUUCGUUACAGGCCAUCCCGAGCGUCGCUUAUUUUUGUGGCGAUCAUUCGGGUUUGCGGAACACGUGUUUCGGUAUAACUCUUUGGCAAAUUAGUCUAUGAAUGUUUGGGCAAUUUUUAAGGUCGUUGGUUUUCUCGGAUAGUUUGUCGCACACAAUCACAUAUUUCGCUACACAUAACUACAUUACAAACAUGGAUUUGAAAAUUAUAUAUGCCACGUAGUUUAUGAUAGGCUUCUAUGGGUAGUUUAUUUGCGCCUGGCUUGGUACCGCUUCUAUCGUAGAUCCAACACAUGCCCCGGUCGAGGUAGUGUCUUCAACAGACGAAUUUCGCCCAAGAGGCCAACCCGCAAGUGCAAGCCAAGGGGGCAUGCAGGCGAGAGGGACCUAAUGAGCGAGCGAUUGGGUUCGGGAUAGGUGUACUACCUGCACAAGUACCGAGUGGGAAACAUGCGCGGCGUAUGCACCCCCUAUUGGCGGGAAAAGGUAUCCUUAGUCCCAACUCCCGAGGGAGCCGAGAUUCGUUAUGCGGUUCUGCCCGUUCACAUUAAUAUGCUGAUUUUCAGGUCUUCCCAACUUGAUGGGGAAAUAAACGCGGGGUAGGAUCGUUUCACCCUUCGGCUAUUUUGAUUACCUACAAGCACGAGUAUUUCCUUCACUAUCCCAGUGGAGUCACCACUGUGGCGGGGUCGAAAAGCGCGAGGCUAAUGCGUGACCUCGUCCCUCGUGGUUGUGACGAUUCUUUUAUUCAAUCAAGUGUAAUUGGAUUUCCUGUGAGUAUACACCCAAUUGACUAGUAAUAUAGGAGUCGUCAUUCAGUUUUUAAUGACAAUGAGAAAAACUGACAAAACCCGGUUAUCGUGACAUAAAGGGAGUGCAAUUAUGUUUGACCACGACGGCCGUAGGUUCCCUUGUGAUCCCUGGUGUGGGGAUCUCUCAACAUACACCCGCGAGGUAGAGAUUGAGGGUUCGGGGGUCUGUAACUACCGAGAGGAGUACUCCGCUCGUCGAUAGCUCCAGAGGCGGAUAUCCUUACUAGCUCAGCAUAAAUAAUUGAAGGGACAUGCGUUAACUAUUAAACUAAACUGAGUUGAUUUUAGCAAUAUGCAACAUAUAAUACUAAUUCGAUCAUGAUUAUCUGAUUUAAAUAGCAUUAAGGGACCUAGCAUGAUAAUCCGAUUUCCCAAAAAUAUUAUAUUUGUUAGGCGUGAUAGAACAAUCAGAUUUAGUUAGUUUAACAGUUCAUAAAAAGGGCGAGGAAAGCAGUUAAAUCAUCGAAAAGGGACACAUUACGACGCACCCUUGAGAGGUGCGUCACGGUUCUCAGAAAACUAACCACUUUGACUUUGCUAUUUCUCCUUUUUAUUUAACGAAUCUCAAUUAUGGGACAGGAUACGUUCUGUUCGAUUUAUGGAUCGAUUGCGACAGAACGCGUGGACAGUUUCGCAGCGUGAGGCUUAGGCUAGGGUUGGAGUCAAUACUCAGAAUAUGAAUUGUGUGUGUUCUUUUCACGUCGAAUUUAGGGGUCUAUUUAUAGGGAAGAGUUCGUGGAAAGAUAGAACUGCAGAGUUCUAAUCCACAAAGAAUUAGGAAAAAACA